UGGGGAAUAUUGCACAAUGGGCGCAAGCCUGAUGCAGCGACGCCGCGUGAGGGAUGACGGCCUUCGGGUUGUAAACCCCUUUCAGCAGGGAAGAAGCGCAAGUGACGGUACCUGCAGAAGAAGCGCCGGCUAACUACGUGCCAGCAGCCGCGGUAAUACGUAGGGCGCAAGCGUUGUCCGGAAUUAUUGGGCGUAAAGAGCUCGUAGGCGGUUUGUCGCGUCUGCUGUGAAAACGCGAGGCUCAACCUCGCGCCUGCAGUGGGUACGGGCAGACUAGAGUGCGGUAGGGGAGACUGGAAUUCCUGGUGUAGCGGUGGAAUGCGCAGAUAUCAGGAGGAACACCGGUGGCGAAGGCGGGUCUCUGGGCCGUAACUGACGCUGAGGAGCGAAAGCAUGGGGAGCGAACA
RNAcentral lists this ribosomal RNA (407 nucleotides) under uncultured bacterium. Its description in RNAcentral is "bacterial SSU rRNA". It matches the Rfam family "Bacterial small subunit ribosomal RNA", at positions 355 to 774 of the family's 1533-position model. The record is from RNAcentral.